GAUCUCCAUCCAGCUAAAAUCAGUUUACAAAACGAUUUUGACUAUCAAUACUAUCAAAACCGUAUUAAAACGAAGCAAAAACCAUUUUAUAGCAUAGCACAAGAUGUUAUACAAACAUUUAACAUUGAUACAAAAGUUAUAUAUAAACAGAGUGAAUGCCCACAGCCCCCGUGGCACUUACUUAAACCCAAUGUUAGCACCCAGUUACACAAUAUUAUAACAAAAAAGGAC
RNAcentral lists this long non-coding RNA (231 nucleotides) under Mytilus galloprovincialis (Mediterranean mussel). The record is from RNAcentral. Lineage: Eukaryota; Metazoa; Mollusca; Bivalvia; Mytilida; Mytilidae.